ACGCCGUACUCUGGAGAGCGGCACCCGCCAUUGCUGAAUCAAUGGUGAGCGUGCCCACCGAAGGGGCGCGCAAGGCCUGGGUCCUGGUUUAGCCGGGGCCGCCUUGUAAUCUCUCAGGUAUCGAGGACAGAGGGGUCAUC
This 140-nucleotide non-coding RNA is filed under the name Cupriavidus sp. RNAcentral describes it as "Glycine sequence". It matches the Rfam family "Glycine riboswitch aptamer". Rfam says of the family: This family represents the bacterial glycine riboswitch. Glycine riboswitches usually consist of two metabolite-binding aptamers domains with similar structures in tandem. The record is from RNAcentral. Lineage: Bacteria; Pseudomonadati; Pseudomonadota; Betaproteobacteria; Burkholderiales; Burkholderiaceae.